GACAGAGGGGGCAAGCGUUGCUCGGAAUCACUGGGCGUAAAGGGCGCGUAGGCGGGAUGGCAAGUCAGUCGUGAAAUCUCUCGGCUCAACCGAGAAACGUCGGCUGAUACUGCCGUUCUUGAGGGAUGCAGAGGAGACUGGAAUUCCCGGUGUAGCGGUGAAAUGUGUAGAGAUCGGGAGGAACACCGGUGGCGAAGGCGGGUCUCUGGGCAUUUCCUGACGCUGAGGAGCGAAAGCGUGGGGAGCGAACAGG
This 253-nucleotide ribosomal RNA is filed under the name uncultured bacterium. RNAcentral's name for it is "partial 16S ribosomal RNA". It matches the Rfam family "Bacterial small subunit ribosomal RNA", at positions 524 to 776 of the family's 1533-position model. The record is from RNAcentral.